GCAAAUUACCCACUCCCGGCACGGGGAGGUAGUGACGAAAAAUAACGAUACGGGACUCAUCCGAGGCCCCGUAAUCGGAAUGAGCACACUUUAAAUCCUUUAACGAGUAUCCAUUGGAGGGCAAGUCUGGUGCCAGCAGCCGCGGUAAUUCCAGCUCCAAUAGCGUAUAUUAAAGUUGUUGCGGUUAAAAAGCUCGUAGUCGGACUUGUGUCACACGCUGCCGGUUCACCGCCCGUCGGUGUUUAACUGGCAUGCACGUGCUGACGUCCUGCCGGUGGCCCGAGCCGGUCCGGGAUCUCUGGGUGCGGGAUUCCCUCCGGGGGCUCGCCUCGAGCCCGGUUCUUGGGGAGGGCCUACUCAUACCCCUCGCGGUGCUCUUAACCGAGUGUCUCGAUGGCCGGCACGUUUACUUUGAACAAAUUAGAGUGCUUAAAGCAGGCAGCAUCCGCCUGAAUACUGAGUGCAUGGAAUAAUGGAAUAGGACCUCGGUUCUAUUUUGUUGGUUUUCGGAAUCCCCGAGGUAAUGAUCAAUAGGGACAGACGGGGGCAUUCGUAUUGCGACGUUAGAGGUGAAAUUCUUGAUGUCGCAAGACGGACCGAAGCGAAAGCAUUUGCCAAGAAUGUUUUCUCUGAUCAAGAACGAAAGUUAGAGGUUCGAAGGCGAUCAGAUACCGCCCUAGUUCUAACCAUAAACGAUGCCAGCCAGCAAUCCGCCGAAGUUCCUCCGAUGACUCGGCGGGCGGCUUCCGGGAAACCAAAGCUUUUGGGUUCCGGGGGAAGUAUGGUUGCAAAGCUGAAACUUAAAGGAAUUGACGGAAGGGCACCACCAGGAGUGGAGCCUGCGGCUUAAUUUGACUCAACACGGGAAACCUCACCAGGCCCGGACACCGGGAGGAUUGACAGAUUGAGAGCUCUUUCUUGAUUCGGUGGGUGGUGGUGCAUGGCCGUUCUUAGUUGGU
Molecule: ribosomal RNA, 959 nt
Filed under: Panesthia ancaudellioides
Lineage: Eukaryota; Metazoa; Arthropoda; Insecta; Blattodea; Blaberidae
Description: SSU rRNA
Rfam family: Eukaryotic small subunit ribosomal RNA
Source: RNAcentral